UACGUAUGGGGCAAGCGUUAUCCGGAUUUACUGGGUGUAAAGGGAGCGUAGGCGGCAGGGCAAGCCUGAUGUGAAAGCCCGGGGCUCAACCCCGGGACUGCAUUGGGAACUGCCCCGCUCGAGUGCCGGAGGGGCAGGCGGAAUUCCUAGUGUAGCGGUGAAAUGCGUAGAUAUUAGGAGGAACACCAGUGGCGAAGGCGGCCUGCUGGACGGUGUACUGACGCUGAGGCUCGAAAGCGUGGGGAGCAAAC
This 251-nucleotide ribosomal RNA is filed under the name uncultured bacterium. Its description in RNAcentral is "partial 16S ribosomal RNA". It matches the Rfam family "Bacterial small subunit ribosomal RNA", at positions 524 to 773 of the family's 1533-position model. The record is from RNAcentral.